AAAAAGUGUGAAUUUUCAAGGAAAUUAAGUGAAAAAGGUAUGAUUUUUCAAGCUUAGCUUAAGAUUUAUCAUUUCCAUGCAUUUUCCAUCAUUUUUCAUGGUUGAAUCAUGUGAUUUGAGGAUGAAUUCAAUUCUGAAAAAAAUGGGUUAGGAGAGAGAAACUUGUUAGAUUAAUUUGAUUCUAAGUUAUGUUAGUGUUUUAAGUUAGUUUAGCAUAUUUAGGAACAAAACAAUAAGAAAAGAAUUUAUUUUCCUCCACUACCAUUAUUGGCUGAAUUUUUUAGGGGAAUAUUGACUGCUGAUCUUGAUGUUUAUUUGAGAAAUUAUGAUGAAUAAUGAUAAAUUAUGAGCCUAAAAAAAUAAUGGGAAUUUUCGGAGCAAAAAUAUGAAUUUUUACCCACUAGGGGUAUUUUUGUAAUUUUCUAUCGAGACUGAUAAUUUGCACCACACUGAGGAACAUUAAGUCAAUUUAGGUGCAAUUGAGGUAUAGAACUGAAAAAAAAUUAAUUUGAGAUUAAAUUGGACGCGUUAGUAAUUUAAUCGGGUAAUAAGCCGAAUUAGGUCAGCACCGCAUUUAAGCGGUAGUCGGAUAAGUUGCAUGUCAUAUCAUGCAUAUAUACCGAGCCUGAAUUGAUUUUAUAAUGGUCAAGCAUUGAUGUUGUGAAUUAUGUAUUAUACAUUGUGGAUAGGUGGUGAGCAAAUUACACUAGUAAAAGUACAAAAAUUGUGCUUGAAGACUGGGAUUAGGAGUACAUCGACUCCUAGAACAGUGAGUGGACAAUUUAUCGUCUUAAAUAUCUAGAGUAAUUAUACUUGUUUGAUGCUUUUAUUGAAUGGUGAGCUUAAAUUAUAAAAUAUUAUGUUUUCCAAUUCAAAUGUUUUUUUUUUAAUAAAAAUGAGAUUUAUACUGGUUUUGAAAUCAAAUAUUGUUUUGGGAAAAUUGAGUAUAUGGAGACUGUGUUGAAAUUUAUGAUUUUAUAUGUUAUUGAAAUUGUGGCUUAUGACACUAUGGUAGCAUGAUGGCUAAAUUUUUGGGGUUGGCAUGAAAUAUAUGAACAGUUUUGGAUUGGUCUCGGUAGACUGGAUUACAUUUUAUUCGCCAUAUUAUGCUACUGGAAUUUUUAUGGGUCUGGUGGUAUAUUAAACGGUCACUGCAGUGGUGGGGGUUUCCGUGGACUGCCUAUGAGAGGGGCACGGUAACUCAAUUAUAUACUUACCUCCGGGGGGAGAUGUUGGGUGAAGUAUCUCCUGAGGUAUGAUUUGAGUGCACCUCACGUUCGGGCCACCACGUGAGAGUGAGACUCAGCCAACGCCAAGGAACGGCUGUGUGUCAGAUGUGAAAACAUGUUUAUGGGUAUGGGUCAUUGAACAGCCUUGGCGGUCUCAGUGGGAUACCUUGACGAAGGUACCCGCGAGAAUGAUAUUGGCAGGGGCCAAGUUUAAAAAAAUUCAUAAGUCGGGGAAAUUUUGAUGAAAAGAAAUUAUUUGGUAUAGAUUGAAACGAAUUUUGUGUUAUGAACAUUAUUGAGAUAUAACGUUUUUAUAUUGUCUCCAUCUACUCGGCUUUAGAUGCUUUUGAUGGUAAUUGUUUACUCACUGGGAUUAUUUAAUCUCACCCCUCUUCCUAUCCAUUUUUCAGGCUCAGGACAGUUUGUUGAUAGUUGAUUAAGACGAGAAUUAAUCUCGGAGUUGCAUCAUAGGAAGUAAGGGUUCGUAGCUCUACACCUUCUUGGUUAGUUGGGGGCCCA
RNAcentral lists this long non-coding RNA (1748 nucleotides) under Theobroma cacao (cacao). RNAcentral describes it as "long non-coding RNA (TCAC_LNC002268)". The record is from RNAcentral. Lineage: Eukaryota; Viridiplantae; Streptophyta; Magnoliopsida; Malvales; Malvaceae.